AGGAAGCCCCGGCUAACUACGUGCCAGCAGCCGCGGUAAUACGUAGGGGGCAAGCGUUGUCCGGAAUCAUUGGGCGUAAAGAGCGUGUAGGCGGCCAUCCAAGUCCGAUGUGAAAGCUCGGGGCUCAACCCCGAGUCUGCAUUGGAAACUGGGUGGCUAGAGUCCGGAAGAGGAGACUGGAAUUCCUGGUGUAGCGGUGAAAUGCGCAGAUAUCAGGAAGAACACCGGUGGCGAAGGCGGGUCUCUGGGACGGUACUGACGCUGAGACGCGAAAGCGUGGGGAGCAAACAGGAUUAGAUACCCUGGUAGUCCACGCCGUAAACGAUGGGCACUAGGUGUGGGAGGUGUCGACUCCUUCCGUGCCGUAGCUAACGCA
This 376-nucleotide ribosomal RNA is filed under the name uncultured delta proteobacterium. RNAcentral describes it as "bacterial SSU rRNA". It matches the Rfam family "Bacterial small subunit ribosomal RNA", at positions 485 to 859 of the family's 1533-position model. Lineage: Bacteria; Deltaproteobacteria. The record is from RNAcentral.